RNAcentral lists this long non-coding RNA (444 nucleotides) under Vigna radiata. RNAcentral's name for it is "long non-coding RNA (VRAD_LNC007032)". The record is from RNAcentral. Lineage: Eukaryota; Viridiplantae; Streptophyta; Magnoliopsida; Fabales; Fabaceae.
UUAUAUACGGAUUAUAAAAAAUAAUAAGAAAUAAAAUUAAAAAAUUUAACCCUUAGGCAAAGAAGUGGAAAGUUCUCGACUCAUUCCCACAACCUUCCCUCUUCUCAGCUUUUCGUCUCAGCUUUUCCUCUCAUCUCUUUCCCCAUCACAGAUCACAGUCAACGAGCCAUUCUUCACUACCUCUUCUUCUCGUCGUUCUUCUGGAGCAUUUUCCCUCCUAUCUGGAACCAUCAUCUUCGUUCGUCGAUCCAUCAGCGUCUCGUCGAACCAUUUAUAGAGUUCUCAUCCCGCGACCAUGGAACUCUUGUUGNCGUNUCACGAAGNUCUCAUUCNGCCGCGUCUUCUCACUUUCAACGAAACCCCUUUUGGUGGUCGAACACAAAUUAGGGUUCUCACAUCCCUAGGGUUUACCUCCCCUAUUCCAAAUCACCCUCUUCCACCCCU